RNAcentral lists this ribosomal RNA (800 nucleotides) under uncultured bacterium. RNAcentral's name for it is "bacterial SSU rRNA". It matches the Rfam family "Bacterial small subunit ribosomal RNA", at positions 8 to 815 of the family's 1533-position model. The record is from RNAcentral.
AGAGUUUGAUCCUGGCUCAGGACGAACGCUGGCGGCGUGCUUAACACAUGCAAGUCGAACGGACGGACUCGAGAGCUUGCUCUUGAGGAAGUUAGUGGCGGACGGGUGAGUAACGCGUGGGUAACCUGGCCUAAAGAGGGGGAUAACACUGCGAAAGCGGUGCUAAUACCGUAUGAAACUGUCUGAUCACAUGGUCGGAUAGCCAAAGGAGAAAUCCGCUUUAGGAUGGACCCGCGUCUGAUUAGCUAGUUGGUGGGGUAACGGCCUACCAAGGCGACGAUCAGUAGCCGGCCUGAGAGGGUGAGCGGCCACACUGGGACUGAGACACGGCCCAGACUCCUACGGGAGGCAGCAGUGGGGAAUCUUCCGCAAUGGACGAAAGUCUGACGGAGCAACGCCGCGUGAAUGAAGAAGGCCUUCGGGUUGUAAAGUUCUGUCUUCAGGGAAGAAAAAAAUGACGGUACCUGAGGAGGAAGCCCCGGCUAACUACGUGCCAGCAGCCGCGGUAAUACGUAGGGGGCAAGCGUUGUCCGGAAUUACUGGGCGUAAAGAGCGUGUAGGCGGGAAUUUAAGUCAGAUGUGAAACCUUCGGGCUCAACCUGAAGCAUGCAUCUGAAACUGGAUUUCUUGAGGGUAUGAGAGGAAAACGGUAUUCCUAGUGUAGCGGUGAAAUGCGUAGAUAUUAGGAGGAACACCAGUGGCGAAGGCGGUUUUCUGGCAUACAACUGACGCUGAGACGCGAAAGCGUGGGGAGCAACAGGAUUAGAUACCCUGGUAGUCCACGCCGUAAACGAUGGGUA